Molecule: ribosomal RNA, 253 nt
Filed under: uncultured bacterium
Lineage: Bacteria
Description: partial 16S ribosomal RNA
Rfam family: Bacterial small subunit ribosomal RNA
Source: RNAcentral
UACAGAGGGUGCAAGCGUUAAUCGGAAUUACUGGGCGUAAAGCGUGCGUAGACGGUUGCGUAAGUCAGAUGUGAAAGCCCCGGGCUCAACCUGGGAAUUGCAUUUGAGACUGCGUAGCUAGGGUGCGGAAGAGGGAAGCGGAAUUUCCGGUGUAGCGGUGAAAUGCGUAGAUAUCGGAAGGAACACCAGUGGCGAAGGCGGGUCUCUGGGCAGUAACUGACGCUGAGGAGCGAAAGCGUGGGGAGCGAACAGG